GUUGUAUAGUCAAGUAAUGAAGUGCACAUGGUGGAUGCCUUGGCAGUCAGAGGCGAUGAAAGACGUGACAGCCUGCGAAAAGCGUCGGGGAGGCGGCAAUAUCCUGUGAUCCGGCGAUAUCUGAAUGGGGAAACCCACUUGUCAUAAGACAGGUAUCGUAAAUUUAUUUACGAGGCAAACCGGGAGAAGUGAAACAUCUCAGUAACCCGAGGAAAAGACAUCAAUAGAGAUUCCCCUAGUAGCGGCGAGCGAACGGGGAGGAGCCGACUGAUUAUAAUUUAGAGGAAUGACUUGGAAAGGUCAAUCGUAGAGGGUGAUAAUCCCGUACUCGAAAGGUUAUAAGAAGCAUAUUAAGUAGGGCGGAACACGAGAAAUUCUGUCUGAAGAUGGGGGGACCAUCCUCCAAGGCUAAAUACUCCUGACUGACCGAUAGUGAACCAGUACCGUGAGGGAAAGGCGAAAAGAACCCCUGUGAGGGGAGUGAAAUAGAACCUGAAACCGUGUGCAUACAAGCAGUCGGAGCGGACAUGUUCCGUGACGGCGUACCUUUUGUAUAAUGGGUCAGCGACUUAUAUUCUGUAGCAAGGUUAACCGAAUAGGGGAGCCGUAGGGAAACCGAGUCUUAAUAGGGCGUCUAGUUGCAGGGUAUAGACCCGAAACCGAGUGAUCUAUCCAUGAGCAGGUUGAAAGUGACGUAACAGUUACCGGAGGACCGAACCCACUGUCGUUGAAAAGCCAGGGGAUGACUUGUGGAUAGGGGUGAAAGGCUAAUCAAACUCGGUGAUAGCUGGUUCUCCCCGAAAGCUAUUUAGGUAGCGCCUCGGACGAACACCAUUGGGGGUAGAGCACUGUUUCGGCUAGGGGGUCAUCUCGACUUACCAAACCGAUGCAAACUCCGAAUACCGAUGAGUGAUAUCCGGGAGACAGACGGCGGGUGCUAACGUCCGUCGUCAAGAGGGAAACAACCCAGACCGCCAGCUAAGGCCCCAAAUUCCUAGUUAAGUGGGAAACGAUGUGGGAAGGCACAGACAGCUAGGAGGUUGGCUUAGAAGCAGCCACCCUUUAAAGAAAGCGUAAUAGCUCACUAGUCGAGUCGGCCUGCGCGGAAGAUGUAACGGGGCUCAAACUAGGAGCCGAAGCUGCGGAUUUAAUUGUUUCAAUUAAGUGGUAGGGGAGCAUUGUGUAAGCCUGUGAAGGUGUGUUGUAAAGCAUGCUGGAGGUAUCACAAGAGCGAAUGCUGACGUGAGUAACGACAAAACGGGUGAAAAGCCCGUUCGCCGGAAGACCAAGGGUUCCAGUCCAACGUUAAUCGGGGCUGGGUGAGUCGACCCCUAAGGCGAGGCCGAAAGGCGUAGUCGAUGGGAAAUCGGUUAAUAUUCCGAUACUUGUUUAUGAUGCGAUGGAGGGACGGAGAAGGUUAUGCCAGCUUGGCGAUGGUUGUCCAAGUGGAAGGAUGUAGUUAGGUUUAGUAGGCAAAUCCGCUAGACUAUUAAUGAGAUCUGAUAGCAAGCUGUACUUGUACAGCGAAGUGGCAAAUACCCUGCUUCCAGGAAAAGCUUCUAAGCGAUAGUCAUAAAGAAAUCGUACCCUAAACCGACACAGGUGGUCAGGUAGAGAAUACCAAGGCGCUUGAGAGAACUCUGCUGAAGGAACUAGGCAAAAUGGUACCGUAACUUCGGGAGAAGGUACGCUGCCGAUGGUGAGUAGUCACGCACUACAAAGCUAUUGGCAGUCGCAGAUACCAGGCCGCUGCAACUGUUUAUUAAAAACACAGCACUCUGCAAACACGAAAGUGGACGUAUAGGGUGUGAUGCCUGCCCGGUGCUGGAAGGUUAAUUGAUGGGGUUAGCGUAAGCGAAGCUCUUGAUCGAAGCCCCAGUAAACGGCGGCCGUAACUAUAACGGUCCUAAGGUAGCGAAAUUCCUUGUCGGGUAAGUUCCGACCUGCACGAAUGGCAUAAUGAUGGCGGCGCUGUCUCCAGCAGAGACUCAGUGAAAUCGAAAUCGCAGUGAAGAUGCUGUGUACCCGCGGCUAGACGGAAAGACCCCGUGAACCUUUACUACAGCUUUACAUUGAACUUUGACCUUACCUGUGUAGGAUAGGUGGGAGGCUUUGAAGCAGGCACGCCAGUGUCUGUGGAGCCAUCCUUGAAAUACCACCCUGGUAAUGUUGGGGUUCUAACUCAAGCUUAACAGAGCUGAGGACAAUGUAUGGUGGGUAGUUUGACUGGGGCGGUCUCCUCCUAAAGAGUAACGGAGGAGUACGAAGGUGCGCUCAGAACGGUCGGAAAUCGUUCGAAGAGUAUAAAGGCAAAAGCGCGCUUAACUGCGAGACCCACAAGUCGAGCAGAUACGAAAGUAGGUCUUAGUGAUCCGGUGGUUCUGUAUGGAAGGGCCAUCGCUCAACGGAUAAAAGGUACUCUGGGGAUAACAGGCUGAUACCGCCCAAGAGUUCAUAUCGACGGCGGUGUUUGGCACCUCGAUGUCGGCUCAUCUCAUCCUGGGGCUGAAGCAGGUCCCAAGGGUAUGGCUGUUCGCCAUUUAAAGAGGUACGCGAGCUGGGUUUAGAACGUCGUGAGACAGUUCGGUCCCUAUCUACCGUGGGCGUUGGAAAUUUGAGAGGAUCUGCUCCUAGUACGAGAGGACCAGAGUGGACGAACCUCUGGUGUUUCGGUUGUGACGCCAGUCGCAUUGCCGAGUAGCUAUGUUCGGAUGGGAUAACCGCUGAAAGCAUCUAAGCGGGAAGCCCACCUUAAGAUUAGAUUUCCCUAAAGAGCCGUUGUAGACUACGACGUUGAUAGGUUGGGUGUGGAAGCAUAGUGAUAUGUGUAGCUAACCAAUACUAAUUGCUCGUUUGGCUUGACUAUACAACGCCUAA
RNAcentral lists this ribosomal RNA (2877 nucleotides) under Faucicola osloensis. Its description in RNAcentral is "bacterial LSU rRNA". It matches the Rfam family "Bacterial large subunit ribosomal RNA". Lineage: Bacteria; Pseudomonadati; Pseudomonadota; Gammaproteobacteria; Moraxellales; Moraxellaceae. The record is from RNAcentral.